UCUCUGUUACUAAGAGCUUGACUGGCAUGCUCAGCACAAUGUGACACACAGGAAGACACACAUCUUUCCUCAUGGUGCACAAUGGAAGGUUAAAUUCGGGGCUGAUGUCUUAGUGGGUGUAACGUACCCACACCCUUCCAGAGUCCUCAGCGGAGAAUGGUCUAAAUUCACCAGAUCGACCACAUGACCCUUCAGAGCUUGGGAGCCUCUCGGCCCCCACGCCCCAGCCUACUAAACUAAUUGUCCCUGACAAAUGUUUCCUAUAUUGGCAACUGUGAGAGCACAAGAGUCACAUGGAAAGUGACUACCAUAGCGCAUGAAAAGGGGAAUGUUGGUGGUGAUUGUGUUGUUGCUGAUUGCAAUUGCUGUGGUUGCCGUCUGGCCAACACACUAACACAAGUACAGGAACCAUCAGAGAUGCCACUUAGCAGCAGCAGCAACAGCAGAGCUGGACAAUAUCAGAGGAUGCGAACAACUCCAUUGCAAACACGUUUUGUGUGUUAAGUAAACUCAGUAUUAGAAUGAAGAUGUUGCUGCACGCAAUGCACAGCCAGAGGGUUGUGGCUAGUUUGGAGCAUUUGAACUUCAAAAGGACUCUUUUCCUUCCUUGAUUUUGUACUUCAGAGGGACACAGCUGGAGAAGAUGCAUCUUUUAAGAGAUUUACCCUUCAGUGCAACUGACUCUAAGCAAGCAAUCUGCCCCUUUUGUUGAGAGAUCAGUCAUCCUGAGGGUUUAAUGUACUGUAUACUGCUCCUACAUAGUUUAUGUGGUAUAUGUGUUGAGUUCCUCCUCUCUUGCUAAAUGAUGAUCUUUUGAACCAAGAUUUUGCAUCUUAUAAAGAAGUGA
RNAcentral lists this long non-coding RNA (847 nucleotides) under Gopherus agassizii (Agassiz's desert tortoise). RNAcentral's name for it is "lncRNA (ENSGAGG00000011710.1)". The record is from RNAcentral. Lineage: Eukaryota; Metazoa; Chordata; Testudines; Testudinidae.